AGACCCCAGUUCAGGCGAGGCCACCCGCUGAGUUUAAGCAUAAUAAACUAAAGCGGAGGAAGAGAAACUUACGAGGA
RNAcentral lists this ribosomal RNA (77 nucleotides) under Gnetum leyboldii. RNAcentral's name for it is "partial 26S ribosomal RNA". The record is from RNAcentral. Lineage: Eukaryota; Viridiplantae; Streptophyta; Gnetopsida; Gnetales; Gnetaceae.